Molecule: long non-coding RNA, 2165 nt
Organism: Hydractinia symbiolongicarpus
Lineage: Eukaryota; Metazoa; Cnidaria; Hydrozoa; Anthoathecata; Hydractiniidae
Exons: 2
Source: RefSeq, a predicted model, not a curated record
CCGGUUUUUACCUCAAAGGUGCACUAAAAUACCGUUCUAUUGACUAAACAAGGGCUUAAUUUCUUUUUUGCGAGGUUAGUAAAAUAUUCGCAAAAGAAAAUGUACGAUGGAAGUGCUUUUUCAUUUUCUUGACGAGAAAAAACGGAGAUAGUCGUGUUACUAUUCUUCUCCGUUUGUUUAUUAAUUUUCCAAAUUUAGAGUUUUAAACUCCAGCUAAACAAUAACAAACAAGCAUCAAUUCCGUUAUGUUUAUACCUUUUUCCAAUUGUUGUUUCAAAACUUAUUUUUUCAUUAUAUAUAUUUAUUUUUGCUCAAUUGAUUGCUAAAGCAACAAACUUUGUGGAUUGUAUUUACAAGAAAAGAAACAAAAGUGGUUGCUAUGUUGAUAUUGAAAACAAAAUUAGAUACAUACAAAUAAAUAAUUUUGUUGAUGUCUAUGUUAGAGUGCUAUGGUUAGAGAUAGUCAAACUGUUAUUACAACUCCACAAAAAGGAUUAACGAAAGUUAUGAAACCGGAGAUUUAGUACUACGAAUUAAAAUAUUCUUGUGUUCACGGUGGAAGAAAACUCAAAGGAAGAGGUUCUUGACAACGAGCUGUUCAGUAUAUGUUUUGUUUAUAUUAAUUACCAACCUCGUUUCCAGACCUUUUUUAUAACUUUGUUCUACUAACUGAACUUUUAUAUUUUUUUUAGUACUAUAAAGCAAGACUGCAAGUUUUCACUUCCUUAGCGAGUAGAUGAAUCUGGACAAUUUUAAGAAGUCAUAGAAAUUCACGCAUAAUCACGAAUUAAAUGGGAUAACAAAUCAAAAAAUGCGCUGUUUGGAAAUUUGCCCUGUCGUUUGUCCCAGGAUUUAUGAAGAUUAAUUCAACAGUUGAAGGGUGGAAAUAAAUCCGACAAAAUAGGCAUCUGUGUAAUGUGUUAAGUAAGCUGAGAUGUUUUCCCGCCACAUUCCAGUUAAUUUAAGUUUACUUUUCUACCAACUUCGUCCUUAGGGGAUUUUGCUUGUUUGAUAUCCAUAAGUAAGCGCUAGCAGCUAUGACAUAGGCAACAGACCCUAGGGAAGAGAAUUCUUUUCUACAUUUUGAGAAUCAGUUUAAAACAAAACUUUGCUUUCAAUUUGGUACAUGGAAAAAACAGUGAAAUAUCGAUCCUGUUUUCAAACUAAUCUUAGACUUAACAAGAAUGCGUCACGAGAAAAAGAUGAGAAUUCCUACAUUCAUAGCAGAAGCAAAUUAAUUGGCAGUUCGCUUACACUUUUUUUUUGGGAGGGAUGUACUUUAUUUUAUACUAUUUCAGCCUUUUUUCUGAAGAACACAGAACUUCAGAAAAAGUUGCAAAAUCCAUUUUCAUAAUUUAAUGCCAGUUGCGAAAUUCAUUUUCAAAGUUAUUGUUAGUUCUAUACUACGUUAUUUUGUUUUUAUUAUCUAUGAAGAAAUUCUGACUAAGAAUUUCCUUAACAUGUUCUUUAUUUUUGACACAAUCUUUAUCUCAAAGUGUUUUAAUACAACCUUCUUAUUAAAAUAUUAUCUUUUUUCGUUUAUGAAAAGCAAAACAAAUAUUCCGUGAAGCGUGUAUUUUGUGUAUAACUUUUAGUUUUAUAAACAACCCAAAAAUUUUGCUGAUCCUAAACUGUUCCUCACUUGUUUCUUCUUGACUAUCUAUCUACAAACGAAAGAGGCAGACCAUUUGGAACCAUGCCACAAGUCAGUCCGACCUUCAUCGUCACAGAGAAUACUGCGAGAAGAGUGCGUACCCAUGCAAGUUAAAUAAAACCAGAACAUGGGAGAGGUUAGGUUCUGUGAAAUUAACUUUUUUGACGAAUGUUCCUAUAAACAAUUAUCAUACCGACGAGUGUGCUUGGGAUGGGUCGUUAGCUUAAUUAUUUGUUUUAUAUAAUAUUUUUAACUCUUUUUACUUUCGUCUACCUGACCACAUGAUAUGUUUAAAGUUCAUAUCGCUUUACUUACGUAAAAGCCCAUAAUGGCUGUAAUUGAAUAUGUUUUGUUUUUAGUUUCGUGUAUUAGACCACGAUAUUGUCUCUGCGUAAAAUCAUCUAGCGUAAACACACUCCUUCGUAUAAUUCAAAAAUAAUUUUUAUCUUUUUUAGUACACACCUAUUUUGUAUUUAUCUGUCAGAAAACUUACCUUAUUGUUUUCAUUGAA